GAGGUCCGACCUGCCCAGUGAUAUUAAUUCAACGGCCGCGGUAUUCUGACCGUGCUAAGGUAGCACAAUCACUUGUCUCUUAAAUGGGGACUAGUAUGAAAGGCCCCACGAGGGUCUAACUGUCUCCUUUUUUUAAUCUGUGAAACUAAUCUCCCCGUGAAGAAGCGGGGAUUAUUCUAUAAGACGAGAAGACCCUAUGGAGCUUUAGAUGAAACAAUAUAUUUCCCCUGCUACUUCAAAAAUCAACUACCAGGGAAUUUUAUUGCUAGUCUUUGGUUGGGGCGGCCGCGGAGAAAAACUUAUCCUCCACGAUGAGUGGGAACUUCCCAUAAUGAAGAGCCACAGCUCAAUGUAUCAAAAAAUUGACAGUUGACCCAAGAUUUGAUCAACGAAACAAGUUACCCUAGGGAUAACAGCGCAAUCUACUUCAAGAGUACUUAUUGACGAGUGGGUUU
Molecule: ribosomal RNA, 455 nt
Filed under: Ischnocnema aff. guentheri MG-2013
Lineage: Eukaryota; Metazoa; Chordata; Amphibia; Anura; Brachycephalidae
Also listed under: 1 other name
Description: partial 16S ribosomal RNA
Rfam family: Bacterial large subunit ribosomal RNA
Source: RNAcentral